RNAcentral lists this ribosomal RNA (443 nucleotides) under uncultured bacterium. Its description in RNAcentral is "partial 16S ribosomal RNA". It matches the Rfam family "Bacterial small subunit ribosomal RNA", at positions 338 to 795 of the family's 1533-position model. The record is from RNAcentral.
UCUACGGGUGGCUGCAGUGGGGAAUAUUGGGCAAUGGGCGCAAGCCUGACCCAGCAACGCCGCGUGAAGGAAGAAGGCUUUCGGGUUGUAAACUUCUUUUCUCAGGGACGAAGAAAGUGACGGUACCUGAGGAAUAAGCCACGGCUAACUACGUGCCAGCAGCCGCGGUAAUACGUAGGUGGCAAGCGUUAUCCGGAUUUAUUGGGUGUAAAGGGCGUGUAGGCGGGAGCGCAAGUCAGAUGUGAAAACUCAGGGCUCAACCCUGAGCCUGCAUUUGAAACUGUCCAGCUGGAGUGCAGGAGAGGUAAGCGGAAUUCCUAGUGUAGCGGUGAAAUGCGUAGAUAUUAGGAGGAACACCAGUGGCGAAGGCGGCUUACUGGACUGUAACUGACACUGAGGCACGAAAGCGUGGGGAGCAAACAGGAUUAGAUACCCCGGUAGUC